AUGGCUAAAGCAAGAGUUGCACCUACCAAGGUCCACAGUAUCCCAAGGCUGGAGCUCUCUGCUGCAGUCACUUCAGCAAAACUAAGUACUGUGCUUAAGACUGAACUUGAAAUGAAAAUUGACAGAGAAUUUUUCUGGACUGACUCCCAAGUAGUGUUGGCAUACAUCAACAAUGAAGCACGAAGAUUUCAUGUGUUCGUAGCCAACCGUGUUCAAGUGAUAAGAGCCAACACAGACCCAAGUCAGUGGCAUUAUGUCGACACUACACAAAACCCAGCUGAUCACACCUCUAGAGGUCUUCAUGCAAAGGACAUCUCUUCAACUAACUGGCCUUUAGGGCCUAGGGUUUUGUGGGAAGAGGAGGUUCUCCCAGCGCCUAAUCCACCAACUGAGUUGCUUGUUGGCGAUCCAGAAGUUAAAUCAGUCCAAGCCUUUGCAACACAGGUGAGCGAGCAAAGAGAUGUUUUGAGUCGGUUUUCCACUUGGACAAGGCUCAUUAAGGUGGUUGCCAGAAUCAAGAGACUAGGGUGCAAGCUGGAACACCAAAGCGAACUUGUGACUGUUGAAGAACGUAAGGAGGCUGCCAAGGUGGUGAUUAAGCUUGUUCAGCUGGACACUUUCUCCCAAGAGCUAAGGCUACUGCGUAAGGGAAAUAGUCUUCCGAGAUCAAGUCCUCUUUUUCUCCUUGACCCUAUUCUAGAUGAUGGACUUAUUCGUGUUGGAGGCAGACUGAAAGUAUCAUCCCUUGAUCUAGAGCUUAAACACCCUGUCGUUCUCCCAAAAGACAGCCAUGUCACAAGGCUGAUCCUAUCUCAUUACCACAACCAGAUUUGUCACCAGGGCCGUAAUCAAACCUUGAUGGAAAUCAGAGCAAAUGGAUUUUGGGUCAUUGGUGGGAGCAAAUCAAUUGCCAAAUACAUACACAAAUGUGUACAGUGCCGAAAGCUUCGACAUUCAACCGAGGAGCAACGUAUGUCAGAACUUCCCAAAGAACGUGUAGAAGUCUUAGCACCCUUCACAUACUGUGGUAUGGAUUGCUUUGACCCAUUUAUCAUCAAGCAGGGCCGUAAAGAGUGCAAGAGGUAUGGUCUCAUCCUCACUUGCUUGUCUUCCCGAGCAGUCCAUAUAGAAAUGCUUGAAGACAUGACCACAGAUGCUCUCAUUAACGCUUCAUCAGUCUCAGAGGAGCGGUUUCUCAAUUACACUGUGACCAGGGCACAAACUUUGUGGGAGCCAAAAACGAGUUCAAAGAAGCACUCAAACAAUGUGACUUCAAGACCCUAG
RNAcentral lists this long non-coding RNA (1284 nucleotides) under Betta splendens (Siamese fighting fish). Its description in RNAcentral is "lncRNA (ENSBSLG00000006494.1)". Lineage: Eukaryota; Metazoa; Chordata; Actinopteri; Anabantiformes; Osphronemidae. The record is from RNAcentral.